UCGCGACCCCAGGUCAGGCGGGGUUA
Molecule: ribosomal RNA, 26 nt
Filed under: Manilkara letouzei
Lineage: Eukaryota; Viridiplantae; Streptophyta; Magnoliopsida; Ericales; Sapotaceae
Description: partial 26S ribosomal RNA
Source: RNAcentral